Molecule: ribosomal RNA, 126 nt
Filed under: Siccirubricoccus deserti
Lineage: Bacteria; Pseudomonadati; Pseudomonadota; Alphaproteobacteria; Acetobacterales; Roseomonadaceae
Description: partial 16S ribosomal RNA
Rfam family: Bacterial small subunit ribosomal RNA
Source: RNAcentral
AUGAACCUGAGAGUUUGAUCCUGGCUCAGAGCGAACGCUGGCGGCAUGCUUAACACAUGCAAGUCGCACGCCCUGCAAGGGGAGUGGCGGACGGGUGAGUAACGCGUAGGAAUAUGUCCAGAGGUG